Long non-coding RNA from Papaver somniferum (opium poppy), 1096 nucleotides. RefSeq lists it as uncharacterized. Lineage: Eukaryota; Viridiplantae; Streptophyta; Magnoliopsida; Ranunculales; Papaveraceae. The record is from RefSeq and is a predicted model, not a curated record. The transcript is spliced from 3 exons.
AAGCAUUCGUGCAAAAACCAGAACCCACUGUUUUCCACGUUGCGUCUCUCUUCAACCAGUUUGUUGGUUUCUUUUCUAUUUUCUUGCAAUUGAGGGUUUGAAGAAGAUGAAACAUUAGCGGGAGAGUCACGGGAAGGAGAUGCGGUAGCUUUACCCUUCCCUUUAUCCACCGGGCCUUCUAUCUACUUUCGAUGUUUCGGUUUGUGUUUCAGGUAUCCUCGGAUCAUGUACUUUUGUGGCUGUUAUACAUACUCAAACAGUAUCAUGAUUAAUUUUAGGUCGUCGCUGCUUAACCUGUUGCUAAAUCAGGAAAUAAGGGUAUGCUGAUUAAUUCAAGCAUUGCUGCAUAAGUUUUUUUCAGGCUUCCCUUAUCUAUACGACUAUAUAGAUGUUUCACAAUAUCCAUAAAGCAGUGUCUUUUACACACCAGAGAUUGAUACAAAAUUAUGGCCAACUAGGCUAAUGCCAGUUGGUUAAUUAUCAGCAGAGUUAGUAAGUGCAUAAACUGGAAUAUACCAGCAAGACGUUCUUCUGUUGUUUCAGCACUCAUUGCAAGGUCAAACCUUUGAAUAGGAAGAGUGUUUUCAUCUGACCGGAGAUUCUAACCCACAAGCACUGUUACUUCUAAAAGCUUUUGUUUUGUUUGGUUUUCAAAGGGAAGCUGGAAAUGGGAUUGUUGAGAAAAGGAAAGAUUUGACCAUUUUGUUCGAGAAAACAAGAAUCGAAAAGAUGAGUGAUACAACCAGAAUUGUUUUGAGUGUGAAGGACGGCAGUACUGGGAUUACAAAGAUAUAACAGUUUGGUGGACUUUUUUUUUUUGGAAUAUAAAUACUGUAUAGGAGGCUCCGGUUGCCUCCGGUUGAAACACUAUAUAGUAAUCUACCUAUUAUCUUCCUUUGGCUUACUUCCCGAUAUCUUGAUUAAGUGUAAACUUCAUAACAUCUGCAUUGCCAGAGCAGACUGAGGAGAUAAUCGAUCAUGUCAUCUAUAAUUCGGAUUGGAGUUAAAAAUAAUUCAUUAGUUGUUAAGCUUGAUUCUUUACAGUAAAGGUGGUAUUUUAUGUGUAUAUGUGAAUCACUAACCAAUUUGAUGUUCA